RNAcentral lists this transfer RNA (65 nucleotides) under unidentified. Its description in RNAcentral is "Paradorydium reflexana tRNA-Pro". The record is from RNAcentral.
CAACAAAUAUUUUAUAAAAAUAUUAAUUUUGGGUAUUAAAGAUGUGAUAUUAUUCAUUUUGUUGA